This 466-nucleotide ribosomal RNA is filed under the name Pseudomonas sp. RNAcentral describes it as "bacterial SSU rRNA". It matches the Rfam family "Bacterial small subunit ribosomal RNA", at positions 60 to 521 of the family's 1533-position model. Lineage: Bacteria; Pseudomonadati; Pseudomonadota; Gammaproteobacteria; Pseudomonadales; Pseudomonadaceae. The record is from RNAcentral.
AGUCGAGCGGAUGACGGGAGCUUGCUCCUGGAUUCAGCGGCGGACGGGUGAGUAAUGCCUAAGAAUCUGCCUGGUAGUGGGGGACAACGUUUCGAAAGGAACGCUAAUACCGCAUACGUCCUACGGGAGAAAGCAGGGGACCUUCGGGCCUUGCGCUAUCAGAUGAGCCUAGGUCGGAUUAGCUUGUUGGUGAGGUAAUGGCUCACCAAGGCGACGAUCCGUAACUGGUCUGAGAGGAUGAUCAGUCACACUGGAACUGAGACACGGUCCAGACUCCUACGGGAGGCAGCAGUGGGGAAUAUUGGACAAUGGGCGAAAGCCUGAUCCAGCCAUGCCGCGUGUGUGAAGAAGGUCUUCGGAUUGUAAAGCACUUUAAGUUGGGAGGAAGGGUUGUAGAUUAAUACUCUGCAAUUUUGACGUUACCGACAGAAUAAGCACCGGCUAACUCUGUGCCAGCACCCGCGGU